This is a long non-coding RNA of Neofelis nebulosa (Clouded leopard), 422 nucleotides long. RefSeq lists it as uncharacterized. Lineage: Eukaryota; Metazoa; Chordata; Mammalia; Carnivora; Felidae. The transcript has 2 exons. The record is from RefSeq and is a predicted model, not a curated record.
AGCCCGGGCACCCACAUUUCAGGAAGUUUCUUCAGACAUUCGAGCUUUUAUGGCUCACCUAUGACGUGCCAGGAGCCCGCUCAGCUUGGGGACUGGAGGCACGGCUCUGGAUGGGACGGUGCCCCCUCCCUGCUGCCCAAGCGAAAUAUAAUACCCAUUCAGACAACUGCAUGCGAAGAUACAUGGCUCAGAAAUGACCGUCUCACCCAGGACACGAAAGGGAUGGCCAGCGCCCCAGCGGUCCCUUCACCGACCCUGCGCGUCGCACCCGCGCCCUCCCUGCAGAAGUGACCCCGUGCUGACACCAUCUUGCUUUCCUGUUUGGUUUUACGCCUCGGGCGUGAAUCCUACUCCAGUUCUGUUUUGUCUGGGUUUAAACUUUGUAUCAGGAAAAAAUAUAGUGGCUAUUCUUCGGUGUUUGA